AGUGAACGCUGGCGGUAGGCCUAACACAUGCAAGUCGAACGACAGCACAGGAGAGCUUGCUCUCUGGCUGGCGAGUGGCGGACGGGUGUGGCAUACAUCGGAAUCUGCCCAGUCGUUGGGGAAAACGUAGGGAAACUUACGCUAAUACCGCAUACGACCUUCGGGUGAAAGAGGGGGAUCGCAAGACCUCUCGCGAUUGGAUGAGCCGAUGUCGGAUUAGCUAGUUAGCGGGGUAAUGGCCCACCAAGGCGACGAUCCGUAGCUGGUCUGAGAGGAUGAUCAGCCACACUGGAACUGAGACACGGUCCAGACUCCUACGGGAGGCAGCAGUGGGGAAUAUUGGACAAUGGGCGAAAGCCUGAUCCAGCCAUACCGCGUGAGUGAAGAAGGCCUUCGGGUUGUAAAGCCCUUUUGUUGGGAAAGAAAUCUUGCAGGAUUAUCCCCUGGGAGGAUGACGGUACCCAAAGAGUAAGCACCGGCUAACUUCGUG
RNAcentral lists this ribosomal RNA (490 nucleotides) under uncultured bacterium. RNAcentral's name for it is "partial 16S ribosomal RNA". It matches the Rfam family "Bacterial small subunit ribosomal RNA", at positions 29 to 507 of the family's 1533-position model. The record is from RNAcentral.